RNAcentral lists this long non-coding RNA (1065 nucleotides) under Homo sapiens (human). Its description in RNAcentral is "long non-coding RNA NONHSAT216353.1". Lineage: Eukaryota; Metazoa; Chordata; Mammalia; Primates; Hominidae. The record is from RNAcentral.
ACAAAGGGUUGGGACACAAAGUCAUUCUCAGAAGAAGGAAAGCCUGGAAGGUCUUUCAACAGACUUCCUGGUGCUGGGUCUCCUUGUUCUCUCUUUAGUGUGACCGAGAGGCCAGAUGACCACGUAUAUGCCUAAGAGGAGAAGCUGCCACCUGUUGCUGUAAAUCUGGCUUUUCACCCAAAUGAAGAAGACUUUUCCUCGUCUUAUCCCUGGCAAAGACUCUAAUGAUGCUGAAAUUCUUAGGUGGAGAAGUGAAGGGCCAGAGGAAGGAAGUGAAUUAUAAUCGCCAUCAUUACAAGUUGCUGAGUGCUGGCUACCUUGUGACAACUACCUCUUUCAAUCCUUGCCCUGCCAGGGGACUGGAGGAGGAAUUCUCUGAAAAAUGAUCUAAGAAGAUAGCACCUUGGCAGAGAUCUGGGGAUCCUGAUCAUCCGAAGGCCAUCUGCUCUAUGCUUUCAGCUGGUCUUGAAUAAGGAGCCUGGACACCCCGAUGAUGUUUGGGACCCAUUCACUCAUGCAUCCAUUCAUUCAUCCUACAAGCAUGUGAGCAUCGUCUGCCAAACACUGACUGAGCCUGUGCUGGGAGUUCAAACAGCAUGAAGCCUCUGUCCUUGCCCCAGCCCGUGGAAAGCGGAACAAGGACUUUGUACUCCAGACAAAGGCAGAAAGGGGGCCUGAUCCAUGAGUCCAGGGGUUGCCAUGACGACCGUCCUCCAGAAGCAAAAAUUUUAAGGCUACUCCGACUAGGCCAGUAGUGCAAAUGUCUGCAUUCCCAACUCUUCCUCCACCCUGCUCCAUCACCAGAAAAUAUCUUCAUAUUUUUUUCCCCUGGGGAGAAUAAGGGGAAAAAAAGGACAACACAGAUGACGUCAGGAUGGCUAGCAGAUUGUUGGUAUAACCCGGCUGUCUGCCCCCCUCUUUCUUCCUGCAAACUAAAGUCGACUCUGCCCAAAGGUGAAAUGCAGUCAGCUAAGUUCUUGGGUGCCUUUCUGGAUUUGAGAACCUGUUUGGAAUCAGCCAUACGUUUCCGUCCACUGGGAAAUGGGGUUGACCUGCCUUAGCCAG